This is a long non-coding RNA of Labeo rohita (rohu), 3244 nucleotides long. RefSeq lists it as uncharacterized. The record is from RefSeq and is a predicted model, not a curated record. The transcript is spliced from 3 exons. Lineage: Eukaryota; Metazoa; Chordata; Actinopteri; Cypriniformes; Cyprinidae.
GGGCCAAACUGGAAAAGUAAACGUUGAAAUAUGUAUAAUAUAAUAUAGUGUUGAUUUAAGCAUUUUGUAGGAAGAUGAGAAAAUGGAGAGAAUCUUGACCUUGUGCUUGGGGUGAACAUUACGAUGUCAAUGGAUAUCAUGUUUUAGGUGAUUUAGCCACUGUAGCAAACUGCACAUAGAACAUCACUGGACAUACUCAGGAAAAUCUGUGGUAUCAAGUCUCUAUGCCUGUAACUUACUCAGGCUGAAAUGGCUCUGCUCCAAAUGCCUUGUAGUGGACAGCACAUUCCAGGGCCCAGUUUAUGGGGGGGCAUCCCUUACCAUAAUAGUGGACAGAGGUUUGUUACAUUUUGAUUGGAUUUUGGUUAACUAACAUAAGCAAACUGUCCAAUGCCAUCAGAUAAAGAUGCCAGGACAACAGUCAGACACCUCUUAGAGGGAAAGAAGACCUUUGGUACAAAGCCUGGGAAGGACAGAACUUCCUAUUGGUCAAAAUGCAGUUUGUGCCCUCCACCCAGCUUGAGACUGAUUCCUAAGGUUUUGGCCUGUGACCGAUCCAGAUGCAGCAGCAGUGAGUGAAACAAAGAGAGAUCAUGGAGAUCUAUGCAAAUCCAUUCAUAACUAGGUUUUCAAACCUUAAAACUGAUGCACACUACAACACACACAUCUUAUACAUCUUAUAUCAGAGACAUAAGUAUUCUUAGUGACAGAUGUGUAGUGCAACAUCUUACACAAACUCAGCUGUUAAUGGACAAAUGAAUGCAUGCAUGACAGUUCAGUCUUUUCCCAUCAUGUGGACUUAAUGUGUUCUGUAACAUUGCCAAAUGCAUUCUGGUUAUGGUUUGGAAAGUGAGAAAUGCACCGGUAAAACUUUACACUUUUCUAACCCUGUGUUUGGACUAUGCAAAUAAAUUCCACAGGAGGAAAGAAGGGUGGGCCACCACGUGUCCCCCACUCUGAUGGAACCAGCCAAUCACAGCACGGAAAUGGAGAAGCGCCAAAUUGCAAUCUCCUCCUCAUUGGAAAGGGAUAAACGUACAUUGUUCUAAGUCUCCUGUUCAGAGAGACAGUAACAGAUACACAGUUCUGAGUCUGAGUCCUGUGAAGGAAAAGGCACAAACAGGACAACCUCCAUUCUGAGUCUCCGGCCUGCAAAGGUGAGACAAUAGCAGAAACAACAAGGUUCUGAGUCUGCCGCCCAUCAAGGAAAGGACUAUAACAGAACAACGUUCUGAAUCUCCAGCCUGUUACCAGGAAUGCAGCAACAGAAACACCCCGUUCUGAGUCUCCGGCACAUCCAAGAGACACUAACAGAUCAACCAGUUCUGAGGCUGCGACCCACAAGGGUGAGACAACAACAGAUACCAAGUCCGAGUGAGGCAGCAACAGACACAUUCCCACAUUCUGAGCCUCCAGCCUGCGAGAAAAGAGAUAAUCUACAUUCAGAGUCUUCGUCCAGCAAGACAACAACAGAUGCAGCAUCCUGAGUCUCCAUCUUAGGGAGACAAAGCGGAUUGACCAAGUUCUGAGUCUCUAGCCCAGAGAGGCAGAAGACACACAGACAUUUGCAAUAAGGUUAAGCCCUGGUGAGCAAGGGCCACACUCUAGGGCCACAUCUGUGUGUUCCAGAUCUUAGGACCCUUUGGUGCUCCAGGAGAUCAGCAUACUACAGCGCUUCAUGUUCAAGGCUGUCGAAACGGAUUCCUGCUCCUUCCCCCACUGUACGGCCACCAGCGCAACCACACUUAACUACAGCGAAUAUUCCAUGGAUCCCAGACAGGAUGACCAACACACCCUUCAGCGGUCAAUAGAACAUGUGUGCCUAAGUGUCUAUAAAAAAAGCAAGCCUCUAUAAUCAAACAGACCGCAACAAGAUUCAACAAUUGCGGUGAUGGAAAUUUAGGGAAGAGAAAAGAAAACUCUGAAGCAAUCAAACGAUACAAUAAGCAAGUGCCAGAGGAGGAGGGCAUAAAUGAGGAGAUGGUGGAGAGCCGACUCUCUGUGGUGGGCCAAGGCAGUGGGGAGGAAAGUCUAAUAUGGCCAUGGGAGGUUCACAGAACUGGUAUGGAAUAACUUCUGUGAGGGUGAGGGAUUACUUUGAGCAAACAGAUGUUGAUGCAACUUAAUGGGCAUGUAUGCUAUACAACUGUAUUGUAGCUUACAGAUCAAUCCUGUUGACUGGCUCAUUUGUAUGACUUUAGAAUCCACAAACAUCCUCACUAAGAAGAUCAUCUUCGAUGUCAAAGAUGCAGCUGCAAGAAGAGAAGAUCCUUAUUCUUAGGGAGAUGAGAUAGCACCUACCUCAGAGGGCUGGCUGACGGCAUUAGGAAGCUGAUCACAGAAAUGUCUGGAGGAAACCGUGGUAAGAACAUAGAAUAACACUAUAGAGGUGCCAUGUUUGAAAUGCUGUUAUAAUGCUUUUCAGAUAUGGAAAUGUAUGGCAGCUAUCUUAACUGGGUCUGGGUCUAAAUGGGUAAGAAUUAAUGUGUUCCAUUACUUCCAUUAAUGUGUGCCUCCUUUUCUUUUUACAUUUCCUCCUAGGUAGUUUAAAGGGAUAGUUCACCCAAAAAUGAAAAUUUGAUGUUUAUCUGCUUACCCUACCCUUAAUCUUUGAGAGUAAAAGAAACAUACACAAACAAAACCAAAUUAAACCCUGGGACACUGAUGUCCUAAGACACGAAACGAUCGGUUUGUGCGAGAAACUGAACAGUGUUUAUAUCAUUUUUUACCUCUGAUUCACCGCUACGUCCUACUGUCCUGAGCUCUUGCACAGCAUCUGGCGUGUGACGUGUACAUGCUCUGGCGUAGUAUACGCAAACGCCGGAAGCGCGUACACAGACAGUGUACAUAUGUCACACAUUUUUUUUUACUCUCAAAUAUUUGGUAGCCAUUGACUGCCAUUAUAUGACUGACAGACUGCAACAGUUUGAGUUAAAAAUCUUCAUUUGUGUUCUACUGAAGAAACAAAGUCACCUACAUCUUGGAUGCCCUGGACCUCUAUAGCCUGAAGACUAGUCCAAGGAGAUACUGGAUGAGAAUAAAGGACUUGAAUACGAGAGGACAAUGAUUUUGAAGAUGUCUAAUUUGUGAAUUUGUUUCUGUAUUGCUUGCCUGAUUAUUUCUUGGAGUAUUUCUUUGGGUGGUUUUGGACAAUACUUAUUUUAAUAGUUAGUCUCCCUCAUUUCUUUUUAAAUACCAUUGCCUUAAUAGCGAUGAGUCAGAUUUAUUUCAGUGUGACGAGACA